RNAcentral lists this ribosomal RNA (307 nucleotides) under Oxypoda sp. 1 JCT-2008. RNAcentral describes it as "partial 12S ribosomal RNA". Lineage: Eukaryota; Metazoa; Arthropoda; Insecta; Coleoptera; Staphylinidae. The record is from RNAcentral.
UAAGWUWUWAAAAGUUAUUGUCUAGAAAGUUAAAGAUUUUGGCGGUAUUUUAGUCUUUUCAGAGGAACCUGUUCUUUAAUUGAUAGUCCACGAUUAGAAUUACUUGUUUUAAAAAUUUGUAUAUCGUUGUAGUUGAAUAUUUUAUAAGAAUUUAAAUGUUCAAAAUUUUUGAUAAAAAAAGUAAAUCAAAUCAAGGUGCAGUUUAUAAAUAAGAAGUAAUGGGUUACAAAAAAUUUAUUUUUUGAUUUGUAGUUUAAAAUUACAAUGAAAUUGGAUUUGAAUGUAAUUAAGUUAAUAUUAAUUAAAU